RNAcentral lists this long non-coding RNA (587 nucleotides) under Jatropha curcas. Its description in RNAcentral is "long non-coding RNA (JCUR_LNC001467)". The record is from RNAcentral. Lineage: Eukaryota; Viridiplantae; Streptophyta; Magnoliopsida; Malpighiales; Euphorbiaceae.
UACUAUUGAUAGGUUAUUCAACAUUUGCUAUAAUCAUGUAUCUUAUAGCUAAUAUUGGAUGCAAAUUAAUGGUUCUUUUUUUCAAUUAAUUGUCUGAACAUGAUGGCUCAAUCUUAAUGAGUUUGCUGGAAAGGUAUUGACUUUAAAAUUAGUAAAUGUUAGAAGUUAGAUAUCAUAUCUGGUCUUUGUAAGGCCUGAAUCGUCGUCAUACUAUCACUUUCAAUUUGUAUGGCAGUAGUAAGAUCACGUGUUUUCACCCAGCUCAAAGCCUCCCUGAUAGAUAAAGCUUCUGCCAUUAACGAGCUAGCCACCACACCUAGGUCCAUCAACUUGCCACCCAAACAGAAGCCAAGAUGGUCACGCAAAAUCCAACCGCCACCAGCCCUAUGGGUAUUAAGAUCAAAAGCUGCAUCAACGUUAAGUUUCAGAGUACCUUGCAAAGGAGGAUGCCAUAUCGACGUAGCCUUGGCACCUACAGCUGCAUGGUAUCGCGUCUUUGAUGCCAUAAUGUGAAUUUUGUUAUGUUUAGUAAUUCUUUUGUUAAGAAAAUAAAGAAUGUACUAAAGAAAUAAUGAUUUAAUAAUAGA